CCCAUCUCUGCCUCCGACCCACUCGGUAGGAGCGACGCAGAACAACAAAAACACCUCAGCCAACACCAUGGACAGGAGUGUGUGAUCGAGCACAAGGCCGAUCCUGAGCUGGUUCCAUGAUGAGCAAAACAUCCGUUUAAACAUUGCUGGGAUAACCCAGCUUUAAUAUAGUUUACUGAGCAAUUUCACAGCAAUAUGAUCCUGACCACGAAGAUCCUCAAAGAAAUUCAUGAAAGUGAACCAUACAACAUCAAAAGAACCACCUUAAAACAUAUGCCUGCUAUUUAAAAACAUCUGAUUUCCGGGAUGAAUCAAUCAAGGUCACUCCAGUCCAAUACUGAUAGUUUGAUGUAUUUCUUUCAAUCCUAUAUUAGAGGUAUCAGUGAUACAUAUAUGCAUUGUUUUAAUUGCUCUGUCCAAAAUGACUGUUUUUAAUACAUAUUAUUCGAUCUCAUUAUAAUCUUAUUAAUUAUUUUAAAUUCAUUUAUUAUCUUUUUUGGUAUAUUAUAUUAUCCUAUUUUCUGCACUUCAUUAGCACUUCUAUUACUUUGUAUUAUUGUUGUUGUGACUGUCUAUACUAUGUUAAGCACCUUGAGAUUUCUUUGUAUUUUAAAGUGUGCUAUACAAAUAAAAUCCAUUAUUAUUAUUAUUAUAUAUCAUCAUGAAAUAAGAUUGAUUGCAAAAAAAAUGCUUCACUGCUGUCAUUAAAACAUUCAUCAAGUAAUAUAUUACACACCUAAAAGAGUCAAGAUAUGUUAUGGUAAUUUUGGUUGUCCAACGAAUGGAAUAUUGCGUAACAUUUGAUCAGGGGUGGAGCUGGCCUUUCCGGCCAAUGGGUGUGAAGCAUCAAUUGUAUAUACGGUCAUUGGUACAAGGCGUGGUAAGGCACGGCAGGUUCAUUUAUUUAGCAUCGUACACUUCAAACACUGGGGUCAUUCAAAGUACUUUACAGAUGAGAAAAUACAACUUGGGCAGUGGAAAGCAGAUUGGGUGGUGGGGUUUAUCAAGCAAAUGUUGUGCAAGCUGAAAAUAAAGCAUAAAUGCAGGUAAGAAAUAUUCAAAUAAACAGCACUGCCUAGAAAAACACAGUGGUCAGGGCUCACCGGUCAGGUGCAGCCAAAGAGGGGUUAUUCUACAAAAUCCUAAUGAAUCCUGGACACUUGUGUGACAAAUUGCCUGUAGCACUCAGCUCUUAGUGACCCCCACACCAUAAUGAAGGCAUUUUCUGCAUCAAUACACCAGGUUGAUUUGGUCAGAUAGUUAUAAAUGCCUUGUGUUGCUGAAGCUGAUACCUUUAGCAGGGGUGUCUAACUCAUUUUCACCCUGGGCCACAUCAGCAUUAUGGUUGCCCUCAAAGGGCCGUUUGUAACUGUAAGACCAGGGGUGUCAAACUCAUUUUCACCCUGGGCCACAUCAGCAUUAUGGUUGCCCUCAAAGGGCCGUUUGUAACUGUAAGACCAGGGGUGUCGAACUCAUUUUCACCCUGGGCCACAUCAGCAUUAUGGUUGCCAUCAAAGGGCUGGUUGUAAAUGUAAGACUGUAUAAAUGUAACUACUCCCUAACAUAUUGUUAAAUAACUUUGCAUUUGAUUAUUGUUUAUUCAAGUGUAAAAAUAUUGUACAUACAUUUAUAUAAAUAUAUGUAAGCACAUUUCUCUAUUAUAACAUAAAUUAUUUUGAUUUAGGGUUAAGAAACCUGCAUUACUCUAACAAAGAUCAAACUUUUAAAGUGAAUAACAAAGACAAAUAUGAAACACAAGUUAUUAGCCUACAUUAACUUUGUUCAAAGCUUUUUUGUUACAACUAUGGUACAACAAAUAAUUGUGAGUUGUUAAGAACAUGUGUGACAGAUGUGGCAUUUUACAAAAACAAAUGGCUGCAGACAGCCUUGCAGAGGACCAACUAACAACCAACUAACAACCAACUAAUGAGAGAUGGUUUUGAUUAGAGUAAACAUUUGGCUGUAUGAACACAUACACCUGUAAACACACUGAAUACAUUGCUACACAUACCAAGUAGUUUAUGUAAUUAACUCAAAAUAACAAUAAGACUUGUUUUAGUUCACAACUAUAUUGGUCAAGUUCCGGGUGAAGUUGAUGAGGUGAUGCUUCAUGGCCUUGAACACACCAAGUAGAUCCUUCCUCUCCCUAGGACACCAUAUCACACAUCCUCCGCAUCUAUUGAUCAUGUUCGGAAAUUAACAACAAACAAAAAAACAAAAUGGAAGCACAUAUUACACUGUACUUAUCCCUGGUUGAAAAACGUUUUAUUAUAUUUUUAAUUCAGGUUUAAAAAAAAAAUGCUUACCUAUUUGUUUUCUGGCCGGAUGUCUGACACCGUUUUCCCGUGGUCAGUCCGUCAAUGUCUGGCUUUAGGUCUUGUGCUGUAGCAAUCCGUAAAACAGCGUGAGGUUGUCAGCGGUGAUGCGUGAUCUGUGCUUGGUCUUGUUAAGAUUCAUUAUUGAAAACAUCUGGUCACACAGAUUAGUGCUCCCAAACAUGGACAGAACGCGGGCAGCAUGAAGUUGGAGCUGUGGCAUCAAACAGGAGGCAGUUGAAAGUAAAAGUCCUUGAUUGCAGCGUCCUGCAACUUUGCUCUCAGGCCGCUAUGGCUUUGUAGCUUUAUUAACUCUCUCUGAAGGAGAUAGGGCGCAGUGUCGACGUCGGUAGUGAAAGGAUUGGCAAAGAUGGCAAAGUCUGAGCGCUGUGUUCUGAAGUCAGAGAAGCGCCGAUCAAAUUCAGUAAUUAACCGGUUCACUUUGGUAGCCAACCGAGCACAUGAAAAAGCACCCGGGAACUGAGGCUUAGAUUUUCUGGC
Molecule: long non-coding RNA, 2816 nt
Organism: Clupea harengus (Atlantic herring)
Lineage: Eukaryota; Metazoa; Chordata; Actinopteri; Clupeiformes; Clupeidae
Source: Ensembl